Molecule: non-coding RNA, 27 nt
Filed under: Rattus norvegicus (Norway rat)
Lineage: Eukaryota; Metazoa; Chordata; Mammalia; Rodentia; Muridae
Source: RNAcentral
UGAGCUCCAAGUAGGUAGUAUCAGGGU